UGGGGAAUUUUGGACAAUGGGGGAAACCCUGAUCCAGCCAUCCCGCGUGUGCGAUGAAGGCCUUCGGGUUGUAAAGCACUUUUGGCAGGAAAGAAACGUCAUGGGUUAAUACCCCGUGAAACUGACGGUACCUGCAGAAUAAGCACCGGCUAACUACGUGCCAGCAGCCGCGGUAAUACGUAGGGUGCAAGCGUUAAUCGGAAUUACUGGGCGUAAAGCGUGCGCAGGCGGUUCGGAAAGAAAGAUGUGAAAUCCCAGAGCUCAACUUUGGAACUGCAUUUUUAACUACCGGUCUAGAGUGUGUCAGAGGGAGGUGGAAUUCCGCGUGUAGCAGUGAAAUGCGUAGAUAUGCGGAAGAACACCGAUGGCGAAGGCAGCCUCCUGGGAUAACACUGACGCUCAUGCACGAAAGCGUGGGGAGCAAACAGG
Molecule: ribosomal RNA, 429 nt
Filed under: Acidobacteriota bacterium
Lineage: Bacteria; Pseudomonadati; Acidobacteriota
Description: Acidobacteria bacterium partial 16S ribosomal RNA
Rfam family: Bacterial small subunit ribosomal RNA
Source: RNAcentral